RNAcentral lists this ribosomal RNA (259 nucleotides) under uncultured prokaryote. RNAcentral describes it as "partial 16S ribosomal RNA". It matches the Rfam family "Bacterial small subunit ribosomal RNA", at positions 524 to 782 of the family's 1533-position model. The record is from RNAcentral.
UACGGAGGAUGCGAGCGUUAUCCGGAUUUAUUGGGUUUAAAGGGUGCGUAGGUGGAUUGGUAAGUCAGUGGUGAAAGUUUGCAGCUUAACUGUAAAAUUGCCGUUGAAACUGCCGGUCUUGAGUGCAAAUGAGGUAGGCGGAAUGCGUCGUGUAGCGGUGAAAUGCUUAGAUAUGACGCAGAACUCCGAUUGCGAAGGCAGCUUACUGGGAUGCAACUGACACUGAGGCACGAAAGCGUGGGUAUCAAACAGGAUUAGA